Molecule: ribosomal RNA, 253 nt
Filed under: uncultured bacterium
Lineage: Bacteria
Description: partial 16S ribosomal RNA
Rfam family: Bacterial small subunit ribosomal RNA
Source: RNAcentral
UACGUAGGUGGCAAGCGUUGUCCGGAAUUACUGGGCGUAAAGCGUGCGUAGGCGGUUUGUUAAGUCCGUUGUGAAAGCCCUGGGCUCAACCUGGGAAUUGCAGUGGAUACUGGCGAGCUAGAGUGCGGUAGAGGAUGGUGGAAUUCCCGGUGUAGCGGUGAAAUGCGUAGAGAUCGGGAGGAACAUCCGUGGCGAAGGCGGCCAUCUGGACCAGCACUGACGCUGAGGCACGAAAGCGUGGGGAGCAAACAGG